RNAcentral lists this ribosomal RNA (406 nucleotides) under uncultured bacterium. Its description in RNAcentral is "partial 16S ribosomal RNA". It matches the Rfam family "Bacterial small subunit ribosomal RNA", at positions 28 to 526 of the family's 1533-position model. The record is from RNAcentral.
GAUGAACGCUGGCGGCAUGCUUAACACAUCAGCGACGGAAUGGUGGCGGACGGGUGAGUAAGGCGUAUAGAACUUGCCUCACAGGUAGGGACAACAUUUGGAAACGAAUGCUAAUACCUAAUACUGUGAGAGAGCUUGGCGUCCCAUUAGCUAGUUGGAGAGGUAACGGCUCACCAAGGCGUGGAUUGGUAGCCGGCCUGAGAGGGUGAGCGGCCACAUGCGGCCUGAGACACGGCCCUUACUCGUACGGGAGGCAGCAGUGCGGAAGAUUGGACAAUGGACCAAAGUCUGAUCCAGCAAUUCUGUGUUCACGAUGUAGUUUUCGGAAUGUAAAGUGCUUUCAGUUGGGAAGCGGUACCUACAGAAGAAGCGCCGGCUAAAUACGUGCCAGCAGCCGCGGUAAUAC